UAUAUUUUAGUAUAUGAUGUACAUUAAUUUUUGAUAUUAACAGUAAUAGUUAAAUUCUAUUAAAUAUA
This 68-nucleotide transfer RNA is filed under the name Aphthona strigosa. RNAcentral describes it as "tRNA-Gln". Lineage: Eukaryota; Metazoa; Arthropoda; Insecta; Coleoptera; Chrysomelidae. The record is from RNAcentral.